ACGAACGCUGGCGGCGUGCUUAACACAUGCAAGUCGAGCGGUAAGGCCUCUUCGGGGGUUCACGAGCGGCGAACGGGUGAGUAACACGUGGGUGACCUGCCCUCAGCUCUGGGAUAAGCCUGGGAAACUGGGUCUAAUACCGGAUAUGACCUUUCCUCGCAUGGGGUUUGGUGGAAAGUUUUUUCGGCUGGGGAUGGGCCCGCGGCCUAUCAGCUUGUUGGUGGGGUGAUGGCCUACCAAGGCGACGACGGGUAGCCGGCCUGAGAGGGCGACCGGCCACACUGGGACUGAGACACGGCCCAGACUCCUACGGGAGGCAGCAGUGGGGAAUAUUGCGCAAUGGGCGGAAGCCUGACGCAGCGACGCCGCGUGGGGGAUGACGGCCUUCGGGUUGGAAACCUCUUUCGACCCCGACGAAUUUGGACGGUAGGGGUAGAAGAAGCACCGGCCAACUACGUG
Molecule: ribosomal RNA, 459 nt
Filed under: uncultured bacterium
Lineage: Bacteria
Description: partial 16S ribosomal RNA
Rfam family: Bacterial small subunit ribosomal RNA
Source: RNAcentral